This 550-nucleotide ribosomal RNA is filed under the name uncultured bacterium. RNAcentral's name for it is "bacterial SSU rRNA". It matches the Rfam family "Bacterial small subunit ribosomal RNA", at positions 355 to 896 of the family's 1533-position model. The record is from RNAcentral.
UGGGGAAUCUUCCGCAAUGGACGAAAGUCUGACGGAGCAACGCCGCGUGAGUGAUGACGGCCUUCGGGUUGUAAAGCUCUGUUAAUCGGGACGAAAGGCCUUCUUGCGAAUAGUUAGAAGGAUUGACGGUACCGGAAUAGAAAGCCACGGCUAACUACGUGCCAGCAGCCGCGGUAAUACGUAGGUGGCAAGCAUUGUCCGGAAUUAUUGGGCGUAAAGCGCGCGCAGGCGGAUCAGUUAGUCUAUCUUAAAAGUUCGGGGCUUAACCCCGUGAUGGGAUGGAAACUGCUGAUCUAGAGUAUCGGAGAGGAAAGUGGAAUUCCUAGUGUAGCGGUGAAAUGCGUAGAUAUUAGGAAGAACACCAGUGGCGAAGGCGACUUUCUGGACGAAAACUGACGCUGAGGCGCGAAAGCCAGGGGAGCGAACGGGAUUAGAUACCCCGGUAGUCCUGGCCGUAAACGAUGGGUACUAGGUGUAGGAGGUAUCGACCCCUUCUGUGCCGGAGUUAACGCAAUAAGUACCCCGCCUGGGGAGUACGACCGCAAGGUUG